AUCCAGUUGAAGAGUCCCAAAUAGGACGGAACGUGCGUUCUGGAU
Schistosoma margrebowiei is the source of this 45-nucleotide non-coding RNA. Lineage: Eukaryota; Metazoa; Platyhelminthes; Trematoda; Strigeidida; Schistosomatidae. The record is from Rfam.